UGAUAAACAAGAAAAGUGACAAAAAUUCAAAAAAAUGACGAACUAAAAAAAGUGACAUUUCCCUACUUCUAGCAGAGCUCCAAAUCAGGAAGACACAGGAUUAUGGUGGACAAAAUCAUAACACAAUAUUUGUAGCUCGGUUGGAUAAAGGCUAAUAGACAUUCGUAAUCAUUGUUCAAUGAACUCUACAACAUUUGCCAUCAGCAUUUGCACCACGAACAUGUUCAAUUUAACAACAGAUUAAUUCUCAACACACAAUGGUCAAUUUUGAAGUCACGAAGCCAAAAAAAUUGGUUCUAAUACCAAUUUGUGGAGAAAUCAUCACCAACAACCAAAUAAUUAACACAAAGUUAGCUCUAUAAUCAAUUGACAGUGAGAAUUAAUUAAGUGAGUGAAAUGACAAUACUUUACUAUCAAAACUCCAAUUGAUUGGCUCCAAAAGCGGACGAAUCUAGGUUCAGAUCAAGGGCUCAAAAUCACACAGCAAUACCAUCCAAAUUGGGUCAAGAUUACUCACUCAAAGACCGCAGAAGAAUAACCUAAGAAUCGAUCAAAACGAUGCACACAGAGGCAGCCAAACAGGGAUAUUGAACGGGGGCGGUGAGCAUGGGAAAACGCACGGGAUAGAGGCCAAAGUCUGGUGCUCAAGCACCGAUUAGAGCACCAACUGAAGAAAGAAGAAAGAUAGCCACACGAAUGAACAAAAGUCAUAGCAACCAUGAAGAGGAGCAAAAAGAGGCACAACCAAUUUAUCUCAAGAAAAGCCAAAGAAGCUGUGUGUGAUAGAUCAUCCAGAUUUGACAAAGACAAAUCACUUAUUUAGGGUUUGGUUGGGGUUGAAUUGCAUUCAUCUUUCUUUCUUCAGAGAACGUAAAUUGUACGGGUAACAAAAG
Molecule: long non-coding RNA, 893 nt
Filed under: Olea europaea subsp. europaea
Lineage: Eukaryota; Viridiplantae; Streptophyta; Magnoliopsida; Lamiales; Oleaceae
Source: RNAcentral